RNAcentral lists this ribosomal RNA (793 nucleotides) under uncultured archaeon. RNAcentral describes it as "bacterial SSU rRNA". It matches the Rfam family "Archaeal small subunit ribosomal RNA", at positions 85 to 879 of the family's 1478-position model. The record is from RNAcentral.
ACUGCUCAGUAACACGUGGACAACCUGCCCUUAGGUUGGGUAUAAACCCGGGAAACUGGGUAUAAUACCCGAUAGGUCUCGAUUGCUGGAAUGCAUCGAGAUUUAAAGCUCCGGCGCCUAAGGAUGGGUCUGCGGCCUAUCAGGUAGUAGUGGGUGUAGCGUACCUACUAGCCUACGACGGGUACGGGUUGUGAGAGCAAGAGCCCGGAGAUGGAUUCUGAGACACGAAUCCAGGCCCUACGGGGUGCAGCAGGCGCGAAAACUUUACAAUGCUGGCAACAGCGAUAAGGGAACCUCGAGUGCCAGGUUACAAAUCUGGCUGUCGAGAUGCCUAAAAAGCAUUUCAUAGCAAGGGCCGGGCAAGACCGGUGCCAGCCGCCGCGGUAACACCGGCGGCUCGAGUGGUAACCGUUAUUAUUGGGUCUAAAGGGUCUGUAGCCGGCCGGAUAAGUCUCUUGAGACAUCUGGCAGCUUAACUGUCAGGCUUUCAGGAGAUACUGUCUGGCUCGAGGCCGGGAGAGGUGAGAGGUACUUCAGGGGUAGGGGUGAAAUCUUGUAAUCCUUGAAGGACCACCAGUGGCGAAGGCGUCUCACCAGAACGGACCUGACGGCAAGGGACGAAAGCUAGGGGCACGAACCGGAUUAGAUACCCGGGUAGUCCUAGCCGUAAACGAUACUCGCUAGGUGUCGGCCACGGUGCGACCGUUGUCGGUGCCGUAGGGAAGCCGUGAAGCGAGCCACCUGGGAAGUACGGCCGCAAGGCUGAAACUUAAAGGAAUUGGCGGGGGAGCAC